AGCAGGAAAGAAGAAAAAAUAUAAAAAACAAAUUUUGACAGUCCUCUGCUAGGGUUUUUCGACCCCAGCCUUGUGUCGCCGUUCAGCCGCGCGCUAAGGCCCCGAUUGCGCCGGAGGUGGCAACGGCUCGUCGGCUCCGGUGAUUAGAUGUGCGUGCGAUGAAGGCGCGAGAUUCGCGGCGGCGUGAGGUGCGACGCGCGGGAGCAGUUGCAGCACCAGCUGUUGGGCCGCUGAGGUAGAAGCUGUUAGGGUUUCUGAAAUUUUGAUUUUUUUGGGCUGGGGUUUGAAAAUUAGUUGUUGGGCCUGUUAAUGGUUUGGGCCCGGGCAUUAUUGGGUUUGUGCAAUAAUAACACAUGAAAUAUGUAUGAUAUUAAAGUUUUAAAAAAUAAAAUAAAUUGUUUUGUGUUGUCAUCAA
Long non-coding RNA from Gossypium raimondii (Peruvian cotton), 415 nucleotides. RefSeq lists it as uncharacterized. The record is from RefSeq and is a predicted model, not a curated record. The transcript has 2 exons. NCBI's taxonomy places the organism in Eukaryota, Viridiplantae, Streptophyta, Magnoliopsida, Malvales, Malvaceae.